This is a non-coding RNA of Pseudopodoces humilis (Tibetan ground-tit), 581 nucleotides long. The record is from RefSeq and is a predicted model, not a curated record. NCBI's taxonomy places the organism in Eukaryota, Metazoa, Chordata, Aves, Passeriformes, Paridae.
AUCGGGCAGGAGGAGCCGGAGCCCUAGCGCCGGGGGAGACGGGCACGCAGCCGCCGGGCGCCCGCUCUCCCUCCAUCCCCGCCGGGCGGUGUUCCGGGAGACGCGGCAUGAAGGGCCCUAGUUUAGAAACACAGAUGGUGGAUGAUGAAACUGAGACUACAGGUGAAGAAUUGCCUCCUCAUCUGCGGGAAGAGCCUCCCGAAGCCAUUGACACAAACUGAAUUGAUGUGAAGCCUCAGGCCUUCCACUGCAAAAUUUGUCUAGAGCAUGAAGAAUCUCAUUAUUACAGAGUGCACUUGAAGCUUGAAGUACAGAGAGGAUGAUGACUACAUUGAUAGUUAACUGCUGCACCCUAUGAGUCAGUGUCAUCAGUGCAUUUAAUGUCUAGGCUUGUGCCAGCAUUCACAUUCAUGUGCUUGAGUGAUGGCAGACAAUAAUGACUCAUGCUUCAUUUACUGGUGUCCUAUCACUUUUUCUCUGGCUUCAUGGACUUUUUGAGUAAUCUCAAAGAGCAAUUACUGGGAAAGAAUGAAAUCUCUAUGCAUGAAUAAGGGUCAGAGAACUCAGAGGGACUCUGAACA